AGUUCGGAUUGAAGGCUGAAAUUCGCCUUCAUGAAGCCGGAAUCGCUAGUAAUGGCAGGUCAGCAUACUGCCGUGAAUACGUUCCCGGGCCUUGUACACACCGCCCGUCACACCAUGAGAGUUGGGAAUACCCGAAGCCUGUGAGCUAACUUUUAGAGGCAGCAGUCGAAGGUAGAAUCAAUGAUUGGGGUGAAGUCGUAACAAGGUACC
This 210-nucleotide ribosomal RNA is filed under the name uncultured bacterium. Its description in RNAcentral is "partial 16S ribosomal RNA". It matches the Rfam family "Bacterial small subunit ribosomal RNA", at positions 1290 to 1500 of the family's 1533-position model. The record is from RNAcentral.